CCCUUGAUCAAAUUUAAUGGCACAACGCGUUCGCCAGUGUGAUAGCCAUCGAGAACGGACAUUUCCUCGGUGGUCAACUCAAAAUCGAAGAUAUCGAAGUUUUCCGAGAUUCGGAGAGGAAAUGUGCUUUGUUAUGCGUUUUUUGAAAUCAAUAUACAGAUUUUUCCGACCAGACAGCCACGUCCAUUUUAGCCAGACCACUUUGCGAGUUUCGGAAGGUCGGGAACAGACCAAUAGAAACCACAUACCUAGUUAUAUUCAAGAACAAAGGCAAAAGGCUAAGGAGAGAUACGACAAACUUUGAUCCGAAAAUAUCAAGUAUAAAAAAGCAAUAUUCUUAGCAAAGAAUUUAAAAUGUAAUCUUAUAAUUGUAACCAAUAUAAUAUAAUUUUUCAGGAUUUCAAAUAGGUAAAUAAAAUAUUAAACUUAAA
This is a long non-coding RNA of Drosophila ficusphila, 431 nucleotides long. RefSeq lists it as uncharacterized. The transcript is spliced from 2 exons. The record is from RefSeq and is a predicted model, not a curated record. Lineage: Eukaryota; Metazoa; Arthropoda; Insecta; Diptera; Drosophilidae.